This 29-nucleotide non-coding RNA is filed under the name Mus musculus (house mouse). The record is from RNAcentral. Lineage: Eukaryota; Metazoa; Chordata; Mammalia; Rodentia; Muridae.
GUCUCUUUUAUGGUGAUAACAUAGGGUCA